ACGGUAGCACAGAGGAGCUUGCUCCUUAGGUGACGAGUGGCGGACGGGUGAGUAAUGUCUGGGAAACUGCCCGAUGGAGGGGGAUAACUACUGGAAACGGUAGCUAAUACCGCAUAACGUCGCAAGACCAAAGAGGGGGACCUUCGGGCCUCUUGCCAUCGGAUGUGCCCAGAUGGGAUUAGCUAGUAGGUGGGGUAACGGCUCACCUAGGCGACGAUCCCUAGCUGGUCUGAGAGGAUGACCAGCCACACUGGAACUGAGACACGGUCCAGACUCCUACGGGAGGCAGCAGUGGGGAAUAUUGCACAAUGGGCGCAAGCCUGAUGCAGCCAUGCCGCGUGUAUGAAGAAGGCCUUCGGGUUGUAAAGUACUUUCAGCGAGGAGGAAGGUGUUGAGGUUAAUAACCUCAGCAACUGACGUUACUCGCAGAAGAAGCACCGGCUAACUCCGUGCCAGCAGCCGCGGUAAUACGGAGGGUGCAAGCGUUAAUCGGAAUUACUGGGCGUAAAGCGCACGCAGGCGGUCUGUCAAGUCGGAUGUGAAAUCCCCGGGCUCAACCUGGGAACUGCAUCCGAAACUGGCAGGCUAGAGUCUUGUAGAGGGGGGUAGAAUUCCAGGUGUAGCGGUGAAAUGCGUAGAGAUCUGGAGGAAUACCGGUGGCGAAGGCGGCCCCCUGGACAAAGACUGACGCUCAGGUGCGAAAGCGUGNGGAGCAAACAGGAUUAGAUACCCUGGUAGUCCACGCCGU
RNAcentral lists this ribosomal RNA (748 nucleotides) under uncultured bacterium. Its description in RNAcentral is "bacterial SSU rRNA". It matches the Rfam family "Bacterial small subunit ribosomal RNA", at positions 66 to 803 of the family's 1533-position model. The record is from RNAcentral.